This 253-nucleotide ribosomal RNA is filed under the name uncultured bacterium. Its description in RNAcentral is "partial 16S ribosomal RNA". It matches the Rfam family "Bacterial small subunit ribosomal RNA", at positions 524 to 776 of the family's 1533-position model. The record is from RNAcentral.
UACAGAGGUCUCAAGCGUUGUUCGGAUUCAUUGGGCGUAAAGGGUGCGUAGGCGGCGCGGUAAGUCGGGUGUGAAAUCUCGGAGCUUAACUCCGAAACUGCAUUCGAUACUGGCGUGCUUGAGGACUGGAGAGGAGACUGGAAUUUACGGUGUAGCGGUGAAAUGCGUAGAUAUCAGGAGGAACACCGGUGGUGUAGACGGCUUUCUGGACCGUAACUGACGCUGAGACACGAAAGCGUGGGUAGCAAACAGG